GACGAACGCUGGCGGCGUGCUUAACACAUGCAAGUCGAGCGGUAAGGCCUUUCGGGGUACACGAGCGGCGAACGGGUGAGUAACACGGUGGUGAUCUGCCCUGCACUUCGGGAUAAGCCUGGGAAACUGGGUCUAAUACCGGAUAUGACCUCCUAUCGCAUGGUGGGUGGGGGCAAGAUUUAUCGGUGCAGGCUGGGUCCGCGGCCUAUCAGCUUGUUGGUGGGGUAAUGGCCUACCAAGGCGACGACGGGUAGCCGACCUGAGAGGGUGACCGGCCACACUGGGACUGCGACACGGACCAGACUCCUACGGGAGGCAGCGGUGGGGAAUAUUGCACAAUGGGCGCGAGCCUGAGGCAGCGACGCCGCGUGAGGGAUGACGGCCUUCGGGUUGUAAACCUCUUUCAGCAGGGACGAAGCCCAAGUGACGGUACCUGCAGAAGAAGCACCGGCUAACUACGUG
RNAcentral lists this ribosomal RNA (462 nucleotides) under uncultured bacterium. RNAcentral describes it as "partial 16S ribosomal RNA". It matches the Rfam family "Bacterial small subunit ribosomal RNA", at positions 28 to 507 of the family's 1533-position model. The record is from RNAcentral.